CCCCGUGCAGGUCUCCCAACCAAGCACAACAAGGCCUCUUGCAUUUCAGGGAAGCAUCGUAGUUCUUUCUGAGACCAAAAACCAUCCCAACCAAGUGCUUCCCACCAUCCCAUUAUUGAGCCUGGCACAUUUCCAUCGAUCAGCCUCACGCAAAGAAACUCCAGUGUAGGGGGACAUUUCUCACUGUCUCUAAUCAAAAUCAGCAGAAAGGAGACAGUGAUUUCAUCCCAUUACAAGUGUGAGUUCAAAGGCACCUUUCACUUUGAGUAUCUGCUAGAAGUAGACGUGGCCAACAUUUGUUAGCAGUUAGACUGUGUUGCUUAUCAGAAAAUAAAACAAAAUAGAUUCAUCCUGUUUUCUUCCCUCACCUAAUACAAAUCUAUUGUUUAUUUUGAUUCAAGAAAAGAAACAGUAGAGGAAAGUUCACUUAAAAGUUCACUGACAUUUUUCGCAGAAAUAUUUUCCACUGGAGGUCAACUCCACAUUUCCAGCAGUAAUUUAAUAACCCGAAUCCAUCGUAUUGAAAAUCCCUCUGGACUCCUAACAAACUAGACAGACAUCCAUAGGUCAUUUUAGAAACACUUUGAAGAUAACUCCAGAAUUCACUCUGCACUAUAGAUCCUUGUUGGACAAAUUGUCCCUGAAUCUAUUUAUAUUUGUUUUGUAUUGUUAUGAGAAAGCAUUGGCUUAUCCAGUUAGAAGGGUCUAGCACUGGUCACACAACUGCGCUGAAGUUUGGCAGAGCACAGCAAUACUGCUUGAGAAAAUGAAGGAAUAGAUAGAAAGGCAUCGAGGAAAGAUUUCUUUACUCCCUUUUUUUUUUUUUUUUUUUAGCAGAACUAUACAUUUUAAAAUCACUCAGAAAGCGAAAGAGAUACUAACAAUGGCUUAUCCUGGUCCCAAUGCUUAUCCUCCCUGAAAUGAUGAUCUAUUCAUUUUUUCAGUGUUUUUUGAAUCCUUCAGCGGGCAUACUUUUGUGGUGGAUUUCCUUCUUUUUUAUUAAAAACAAUAUAAAAGAAACUCGGGUUUUCUCAAAAACCUGAUGUACUCAAACCUAAAACAAAGCCCUGCUCAAGGCUGGAUUUGCCAACCUACGGAUUACACUGAGCAGCAGGCAGGCAGAAGCUGGAGUUGAUCUGUGCAUCAAGCAGCCCUGUGCCAUGGAAUGCUUCUUGCUGUGUUGGCCAGGCAGAGCAUCCCAGGUCACUGAGCCACAAAGGACAGCACAAAGUCCAGCUCCAGCCUUGUACUCUGUGACAUGGAAAGAGCAUGAGUGAGGAAAACCCUAAUCUAACCCAUUUUGUUUUUCAAUCAGAGGAUUCAGGCAGGAGUCAAGCACGGGCCAAAAAGGAGAGGAGCAGUUUUCCUCCUCCGUCAUACUGCACCAUUAGUAAGAGUCACAGUUAAUAUUCCUUGUCUGCUCCUGGAGCAGCACACACAUCUCAUAUAUUUUUUCCUAGACCAGAAGAGACCCUAUAAAACAAGCAUUUCCUCUAAAAAACAGCUCCUUGCAUGGCUCCGGAUAAUACGCAGCUGAUGUGAGAUGAUCUGGCUACAGAGCUUGGCUGGAAUAACACUAACAAACCCAGAGUCCAGGCAUCCUCCGGCUGCCCUAGGAAAGCUGUCAGCAGCCAGAGGAAAAUCUGGCAUCUUCAGCUGCUGCCUGACGGGUGUGCGGUGGUCUGUCCAUCCAUCUGCCCAUCUGUCCAUCCAUCCACACAUCCAUCGGUCCCUGCCCGGUGAGGAGAUUCACGCAGGUUGCAUCACGGUGUCUCUGCUCAGCAGGCAAGGACACGUUGGGUUUCUCCAGAGGAAAAACUGGAAGUGUUUAUGUCCCUGGACAGUGUCUGGAAGCACGUGGUGUUUCUGCAGGCUCUGAGGGCCCGGCCUCACAGAAUACUUAGGCACAUGUGUAACUAGAAGUGACGUCCAACAGAGUGCUGCAGACACAGGCGCUUCCAGUUCCAGCAGGAUCCAAGCAGUUUCCAGGAUCCCAACUUUCCAAGAGGUUUAAAUUUGUUAGGUUUUUUGUUUGGUUGGUUGGUUUGUUUUGUUUCGUCCAAGACUCCUUUCUGUCUGCCCGUGCAGCAGCUGGAUUGGACUCCCUGUGGGGCAUGGCAGGUCCUACCCCUCAUGAGGAAAUACAUCCACAAAACAAGGUGAGAGACUUUGCACUGCUGAACACUGCCCAGUUAUUAAUGUGAAAACCAGAAUUAAUUCCAGUCCAAAAAGCUGGGAGGAAAGCAACAACGAUGAUGGGUACCAUCUCAUACCACAGCUAUUUUACAGCAAUUCCACUUUAUGUUCCUUGGCCAGCAGAGCUCCUUGAAUAAUGACAUAGCCAGAUGACACACAAGCAGAAAAGCCUCAAAUGUGUAUAAAUACCAGUUUUCCAGUUCUGAAAGAAAUUUAAUCAUGCAGACUUUCUACCAUAUUUGAGAGAGCCAAAAAGCAGUGAUAGCCCUGAGCUCAUCUUUCUGGUGUUUUCUCCAGCACCAGAGGAAACCAGAACUGUUGUGUUGUGGGGAACCUGACCAUGGAGCACAGCUCCUGAAGACCCAGGGGGAAAACCCCUUAUGAAGACCUGAGGGAAAACCUCUUUAUAAAGGAGAAAUCAAUUACAGUCCUGAUACAAGCAAUAUUGUUUCACCUAACAGUAUCCAGUAUGCACUGCAUUGCAAAUGCUGUCUGGUAAUCAUCUUAUUCGAAGACACAGUGUUUCGCAGCAUAUAAACCAUUUAAUUGCAAUACUGACUCACAUUUGAGCUGCAAAGCUAGGCAUGUUUUCUGAAUGUGCCAAAUAGGCAAAACACCAGCCAGCCUUGGUAUGUAGUUAGAAGAACAUGCUUACACCACACGCUGAAGGAAACAUGAAAGCUGAACUAUUUUUUUUUGCGUGUGCCCUAACAUUUUCUCAUUUAAUGAAUAUUAAAAUGACAGUGUGUGUGAAAAACCCUCAGUGAUUCAUCCAUAGAGUGAAAUUACCAACCACGUGAGAAGAAAUCUGGAAGAGCACCACAGCACGCCUUUGCUCACCUGUAUUUCCUUCUCCUGUUUUAAAAUGCAGACGAUGCCCAAAUAAAUGACAAAUUGAAGCAGACAAGUAUUAAAGUGAAACCAUGGAAGAUCUCCCAUUUCGUUUUGAAUGUCAUCAUAAGAGGAGCUGCAUAGAAACAGUUUGUGAUCUGCACUGACUUAAACUUUGUGCAAGUGGUUUCCAUGCAGAUUAAUGGUCAACACAAAGUUUCUGGGAACCCCACUUCUCACCCACAGCAUUAAUCAUCAUCGGCAAAAUUUUUUAAACUGAACACAUUAAAACUUUCCUUGAUGGAUUUGCAUUUUUGUUCAUGUAGGACAACAUUCACCGUAUUCAUUCAACUAUAUCACAUCUGAUAAACAUACCUUUCCAUCAUACCUUCUGGGCCCUCCUUAAGAAACUACUGAAUCAAUGCCCAGACCUGUGAGUCAUAAAGUACUCCAAGAAAGCUGGUGGGGAAAGGACAGUAGGAAAAGAAUUUACAGCAGCUGAAGCUUGUGGCAGAUCAGUGACUGCAUUACUGUGGUGUGACAUAAACAGAAAAGGUAUUUCCAGUCUUGGAUUUUAUGGCAAAGGAUGGGAGAUUUGACUUAUGAAGGGAGAAUACAAGGGUAAAGCCCCCAGUUACGUACAAUUGCAAGAGCAUAAAUAAUGAGCUGAGGUUAGAAAUGCACAUGGGGAUCCAAACUUCCAAUGAGUUGCUUUAAAAAGUGCAGUUUGCACAUUUGUUGCCAUACAGCCUGGGAUGGCUGGCAGAACAGCAAUGGCUGUCUUCCAGCCCUUCUAGGCAACAAACACAGGGCUUCAGGCAGGUGUGAGCCAGUGGCGGACCUACACCCACUUGCCAGCUGCCUCUGUUUUGAGAGGAUCUGCUCAUAUCAAACAUGAUGUGGUGGUGGUGCUGUUACACAUCUUGGGUUAGCAAAGCCAAUGUGAGGCUUUCCUGCCUCUCCAUCACUCAUUCCUGUCAGAGCAUCUUCAUCUGUUAGCCCAACUGAUGCCUGUUAACCUGGUGCCCCAAAUCCAGACGCACCAGUACAAUCUACAAGUGAAUCCUUGCAAGGCUUCUUAACACAUUGUGACCAGCACCAUAGAAAAGACCUGGCAGGAGCCUUGUGAAGAUAAUAUCCACGCUUCUGGCUGUGAAAAGGUUCACAGAGAAAGACCAAGAUCAAAAUCUCCCCAACUACAUUUCUGCAUAAGGAGGCAGGAGCAUGAGACAGGCCCACAAUAGGGUACGUGGGAUCCCUGCACAAAAACUCAUUGGCCUGAGCCAUUCAGUACUGUGAGGAUCUUCACUGCUGGGAUCUGGUCUGAAGCCUGCCUCUAGGCUUCAGGCUGUCAGAUUCCACUUAAAAAAUGUGUUUGAUUCUCACUUUGUAGAUGUAGCAUCUGUCCCGCUUGUUCUACUGGGAGGAGGGAGGGAGUUGUGUAAUUAAGUGCAAAUAGGGUUCUCAUGAUGCAAUACAGACUCAUAUAAUACUUCCCAGGUGCCACUGUCUCAAGCAACUUGGCAGGAGUUUCCCAGUUGUGAGGCUCGGCUUAAGAAUAGCAGCAAACUUGUGUGGUCCUGCAGAAGCACUCCUUACGUGCGUUGCUCCGAUACUGCACUUGGGAACAGCUGUGCAAGUCCUUGUGUAUGGCCAGGAUGGUGCUCGGAGGGGAAUUUUGGGUUACUUCUUGUGCUUUCCUGUCCCCCUCUUCCCUUACAGCCAGCCUUCACUGAAAAACCAAAUUCUGUAAGUUUAUCAUAGGGUGAUGGUGGUGUCAAGCUGCUGCAAGCAGCUGGUUGGUGUGGUGUUCAAAAAACAGCCUAAGACUUAAAAAAAAACCCCAACAAUACAACAAUAAAAAAGAAAAAAAAACCACCCAACAACAGUAGAAAAAAAACAGUGCAACAACUUUAUAUAAGUAAUCCUUGCAGGAAGCAAAGCGUGGAGAAGUACAGUGAGUUGCAUCCAAAUACAGGAUGGCGAUUUAGGAGAGCUGACUGGUUUGCCAGUUGCAGUCAUGCAAGAAAAUGGGGAGUGAACUGGCACCAGUGCUAUGAGAUGAGGGUUAUGACUUCUGAGCCUUCAGAGACUCUGCAGGCCACGCUGUGAUUUCCAUCCUCCUCAGCACUGCCAUUUCCUCUCUACCAUGACCAUGCUAGUUGGGAUAGCCUUAUUUUCCUAGCAAAUUCUCUGCUGACAGAUUUCAGCUGCUUACCACAAUCUUUGCCUUUUGGCUGGAUCCUGGAAGUGUUUAUACUUUUGGCAAUAGAAGUAGAGAUAGGUGCUAUUUCAUUUAUUUAUUUUAAUAAGUAAAAGUACGAGCCAAUAUCUUUUCUUCAAAAUGAUGGCUCAUCCCAGCCUAUGUUCUCACUGCUGCUGCUCCUGUCUCAGGCAUGGCAGGUGGCACGAUAAAUAGAUAAUACGCUGCACUGUCUGACAUGGAGCUUUAUCAAUCAAAACAAGCCCUGCUUUUUUGCUCAACAGGAAAGUUCAAUCGCUCUCCUCUGGUGGAAUCAGUCAACACAUAAUGCUUUCAGCCCAAGAUAAUGUCAGACUGCAGAUUUGGAUCUGCUCUCUUGCUGCUUCGGGGCUAUUUAUAUCUUUGUGCCUCGAGGGCUUACUAAUUAGCAGCCUUCUUCCACACCCUUUGAUAUCAUUAACGUAAUCUCAGUGUAAGCGACUGCUCUCUGAUGAUAUCUCUGGGGGAGUGGAGAACAGCUGGAACCGUUCUACAUAGCAGAGCUGGAGCACUUCUCCCACAGCAGUGGUUGAAAGACCGCAAUAAUUUUGCUUCUGCAAGCAAAGCCAGCAAAGCACCCUGCCUUGUUCAGAGUGGCUGAGGCUGAUGGGCUAUCACAGAAUCAAUACGGUUGGAAAGGCCAUUAAGAUCAUCUAGAAAGACUAUCAGCCUAUGGUAGAUGUAAUCUCAAGUUGAGCGUAGAACUGGGAGGUACUGAGAAGGUUAGAGUGGGUUUUUCGGGCCAUUGCCAACAUUAUCAGGUAAGUGCCUUUCAACACAAUUCUUCUUCUUCUCUUGCCCUCCCUCACCUGCUUGACUUGUCUUGUUGGUUCUUUUAUAGUCAAAAGGCCCAUAGAGCGUUAGAGGCAAAGUAACAAUGGAACCAGGAGGUGAAAAUCAGGAAUUUGAGACAGCAGCUGAGAGCUCAGUGCUGGAAUUACUCAGCAUUUCCCACACUGUUCAACCCUGUGAGGCCCAGAUUCCCACUUGGGAGAGCUGAGGACAAAUCUAACACUGCUGAAAUCUCAGCUCAGGUAGUUUCUAAUAAUGCAGUGGAUAAGGUUUAUUUAAACCGUAAUUGCUUGCAUUUUUUUUUCCACAUUACUCGCUCUGCUGCCCUAUAAAAUUAGUUAAUUUAAAGGCCUGUCAUUAACUUAGCAACUUGCCCUGCAAAGAACAAAACUGGAGAUGGGAAAAAGUUUUCUCCGUGUUAGAAAUGCACUUCAGACCAGAGCAACAUUGCUGCCUUCCGAUAGCAGCUCCUCCUCACUAAAUGAGACCUUGUAGGAAAACAGGCGGUUUCCAAUAGGUGCUUUGAUAUCUGCCAUUAAUUCCCUGCUCUUGCUUGCAUGGUCUCUUAGCAACUUCCUGCCCUUUGCUCCUUUUUAUUCUUGUUCCUGUUCAAGCACUUCCUUUUGUCGCCAGUCUGUUGCUCCCCUUUAGGCUGCUUUAGAGAAAGAUAAUAAAAUCCUUGUGCAGAUAGAAAGAACCAGCUACAAAUGGCUGUGCGAGUGUAUUUAUGUUUAUAGCACGAAGCAAGAGAACAGGCUGUCCUGGGUUCUGGUUUCCAACUGCAGCGUAAAUCCGUCAGCAAAUAUGUUACAACCCUGGAGAAGGGAGCAGAAACAUAACAGCAGGCACUGCAGGACUCCAGAAGAGUCGUGUUUUACAGGGCUCCAUAUCUCUUAACUCCCCAGAAGUGUGAAAGAUGGAGGCUUUCACCCCAAAUUAAAAGAGCAGCCAUCUUCUGCUCUCUCAUCCUAAAGCAGCUGUUAAUUCAGUAAUGUCAGCCCUCCCAGUCACUCAGGUAGAAGCAUCCAUUUGGUGACUUCCCUUCGCCAGGCUUCAUGCCCGUCCUGUUUAAUGCUCCACGACUCUGUUCCAGGAUGACAAUAAGAUGGGGAGAACUGGCACAGGUGGCUUUGAAGGCUGAGGGAAAAGACGUGGCAAUGCUUUUUAAUUUUUUAUUUCCUUUAAAUGCUUUGUAUGCAGAGCCACGCUAAGUACAAACCCGAUGACAAGCUAAGAGCAUCUUAGAGAGUCUGCCUCAGGAGUACACCCCUGUUCUGGUGGAAGGAGAUGACAGCAACAUGUGCAUAAAAGGCUGGCUGAACUGGAGUCUUAAUGCGAGGUCUCCACAUCUUAAUAGACUUUGAGAUAAAUGGCCUUUUCUUGUCUCCCAUAUGGUUUUGCUUUCCAUCUAACGAGGGAAUCAUAACUCUGGGUGAAGGAAAGGAGCUGUCCGGAGAUGGAGCUGCGAGUGGAGGGAAGAGGAGGUGAAAGAAAAGGAAAAUUUUAAGGGGAAGAGAGACCACGUCUGGAGAAGUCAUUGUGCAGAUGGGGAGUAACAAGAUGAGAAUGAUGCAGGAACUACCCAGCAGCCGAACAGAGGUGAGCCAGCAGUUCGGGUGCAGGGCGGUGACUCUGGCUGUGUCCCUGUAGUGCUUCACUCAGAAGGGUUUGCACCAAACACCCUCACACUGAGGGGCAGAGAACAGUGGCUUUCCAGUCCCUCUUCUUACCCUACACUUUUCUAUUUUCUCUACUUCCCCCUAAACUUCUGGUUUAGGCAAGAAUUUAAAUACUGGCUUUCUUAGAACUAAAUAUGUAAAUCCUGAAGUGCUGCUCAGUGUGCUUCAGGCCAAGUGCUUGCUUAAGCACUUGGCUGGUUUGGGCUCUCAGAAGAACAGCUGAGAGGAUCUUAUUGUCACCAACAGCAUUACAGGUUUUUCUGAGGAUGUCACUGGGACCAUGAUCUUGCUGAUGCUCUCGAGAAGAGGUAGAAGCAAAGCAUGAGUGGACUAUGCUCCAAGGCUGUGCUUACACCACUAACACUGUGCGCACACAGUGAGUUGGGAGCUCCAAACACUGUCUUUCACCCCAGCAAUAUUUUAUGCUUUAACAUAUUAUUUGUCGACAUUAAAAAGAUAUAAAACAUAUUAAAAGCCAAAGCUAAUGCACUCAUUGAGAGGGCAGAUCCAUGCUUCAAGAAGUCUUCAGUUUUAUAAACCAAUUUAGCCUGGGUCUAUUAAGAGCUUUUCCUGGUGACAGAGUGAGAGCAUUUUCUCUGCUAUAAUCAUAUCAGCCUGUAUUCUGGGUUAAUGGAGAUGAAUAUUACUGCCAGAUUUUGUUCUUUCCCUGCAUGUAAUCUAAUGCCAGAUGGUUCUGACGGGGUAUUAAAUCUCCCAUGUGCAUGACCUCCCUGAGGUUUUUAUCAUUAGAACCUUAAAAUAAUUCAAGGAAAGCUUUCCCAAAGCCUGAUCAUAAACCUCCUAAUGAGGCACUGAAGUCACAAAGAAAAUCCUCUUGUUAAUUCCUGUUUGGUGUUUUUCCCCCUUUAUGACAAAUAAGCAGGAAUUCACAGCAACAGAGAUGCUUUUAAACAGUUUCAGCGGAAAACACAUAAAAAUGAGCAUUCAGGUUAACAGUUCAGGUUCUCAGCAGGGUCUGGAGCUGCAGGAACGUAACAGCCAUCUCCAGCCUCCAACACAUUGCCCAGCAAUGCCACCAUCCCUCACUGUGAGUACAGCUUACUCUGCCAGCGAGUGGCUGCUUUAUUCCUAGUGCAACGUAACACCUGGUGUUAGAAUGAAUAUCACCCUAUGUCAGAUGAGUGGCUGAACUCAGACCUCAUCUGUGCAAUAGUACAAGGAUGUACAUGAGCACCACCUUUACCCUAACUUCAGUUCAGCAACAGCAGUUAAGUUCGUAAGAACUUCCUUAGAGUUUUCCUGAGAAUUUUCUGCUCCUCAUCUGCAUGGAGCAGAUGGCACAUUUUUAAUAACUUUAUGUUUGCUUUUCUAUUUCAUGUUUACUGCAUGACACCAUGCCUUAUUUCCGAGAUCAAGUAACAGCAAGACAGGACUGUUCAGAGCCUCUUGGGCUUUCUGUAUUUCUCAUUAACAGGUCAUCCAAAAACCAACAUAAGUAUUCCUGCAGUCAAAUCACAUGUUGUGAGAAUAGGGAGAGAUGAAAUAUAAUCAGAUUAAAAUAAAAAAAAGUUUUUCCAGUUUUGGGGUAUCCAAACUGGCCAGAAAUCCUGUUUCUCAGAGACAUGUAUGUCAUGCUUGUAAAACCUAAAUCUCAUGAAUACCUACUGCAACUGGGAACACUCACUGCCUUUGAAAAGCAACCUUUUUUUUUUUUUCCUUCAAAAAUACAAGUUUUUUUUUCAAAAAUACAAAAAUACAAAAAAGUAGGCUUCAGGUAGCUGAAGAAACUAAAUCCAGUUCAUCAGGAUGCCACUCAGGCACACGGGACCACCUUGCCUUGCCCUGAAGCCCCAGACUCACCUCCCAGUGCUUAGGAAGUAUUUGGUCACUACUUGGUCAGUACUUCACUUUCAAGGUCAAGCUGGAUGGGGCUCCAAGCAUCUGGUAGAACAUUGCAGGUGAGUUGGAUUAGAUGAGCUUUAAGGGUCCCUUCUAACUCAAACAAUUCUAUGACUCUAUCACUAAGGAUCAACUCACUGUGCAGUAUAUAGUUCCCUACACCAGAGAUGUUCUUGCAUACUUAUUAUCACCCCCUCUAUCCACAUAGUGCAUGUGUGCUGACAUCUGACGUGUCUGCUGGCAGAAACAGGAGACCUCUGGGAAGGUUAGAGCUGAACCAUGGGUGCUGAGCUCUGUACAGGUAUUGGAGAAAGCACCACCUUGGUAGACAGAAGCUCAGUUCAUUAAACAUCUCAAUGGGAGUCUAUCCCAAAUACCUCAACUUGACCCUUACCCAACCAUGUCUUCUCCACCCUAAUUCUGUCCCUACUUCAUAUUCAUUGACAUCCACGUGGUCCUGCAGCCAUUUUUCCCACUUCCUUCCCUCUCACAGGUUCCUUAUCAACCUCAUUAGCAGCGCAUUAGAUCCCGGCACCACCACUGAGCCCUAUGAGAACUUUGAGCUCAUUUUGUACGGCUCCACCAGUCCUCAUUCUCUCUCUACCUUGCUCACACAUCUCCACUGAGGGCAACGUGAUAGCAGCCUGCCCCAUCCAAAGCAUCAUCUCACCUGGAGGGGGAACAUCUUGAUUUGUAGGGAUGACUCCUGGCAAAGGAGUUAGGGCCAAAACCUUCUCUGAGGUUGGAAAAGGUCAGAGCGGGCAGGGCCAGCAGCAGAAUGGCAUCACUGCUCUGGGUCUCUCUGUACUCCAGUGGCAGCAGCAGAGAAAGGGCAAAACCGGGUAUGGAAGAAACGGAUGACAAGGCACAGAGCUUCUCACCCUGCAGCCUGUGACAUCCUCCCCCGCGUGCAGUCUUUUCCAGCCAUGUGUGAGUUAUUUGCUAUCCCGUGCCAAAAAUAAAUAAAUAAACAAACAAACAAACAAAUAAAUAAAUAGAGUCAACGUCUUCUGUCUGCUGCCCUUCAAAUGAAGCGAGGAGCAGCGCUGCCACCAGCCCUGGCUGGGAGGGACCUGGUGGGCUGAGAGGACUGGGGCUCAGGCAGUGCCACGGGCUGCGUGUCCCAAAGGACCGCGGGUAUUUCUGGCACACAGUGGGGCCAGCAGCACUUGGACAAGGAGCGAUUUUACUAAAAAAGGAACUUGGAGGGCACUGCAGUCCCGCUCUGCCUACAUCAGGAGGGACAUGGAGGCAGAUGCUUGGCUGCAUCGCCCUGCACUGCACAGAGCCCGGCACUCAGCAGCAAACUUCUACAUGGAAACUAUUAGCAAAUAAUAACACUUUAUAGCUGUGCAUUUCCACAUUGCUGCUUUCAUUUUCUUUCUUUUUUUUCCUUUUUUUCUUUCUUUUUUCUUUUUUUUCCUCCUUAAUACUUGGGUUUAUUUUGUGUCACUGCGUGCUUGCAAGGACAGAGAGACUUUUAAAUUACAGUAAUCUGAAUUCUAUAAAUAACAAAGCGACAAAGGUCUGUGAUGAAACACGGAGUGCACCGUAUCCACAAAAAUAAGUACCUGUGUUCCUACAGAGAUCGUUGAGGUAACAGUCACAUAACUGAGUACCUGGUUGUGUCCACUUAAAUCAGCUCCCGGAGCAGAACCAUCUACCUUAGGAAAAGAGGCAGCAGUAGAGCCCCUACCAGUAGGAGAAAUUAAUGCAUUACACUUCGACAGAGAUUAAUUAUUAUGAGUCAGUCUAAAAAUACGUUUGUCCCCUGUGGGAGUACGCGCUCUUCUAUUCAUCAAGUCGCUUUCAAAUAAUCAUUAAACAUCUUAAGGCAGAAGACAGUUUUGCUCGUGCAAAAGAAACACUGCUAAAAGUUACACGACAAAGACCAUCUUUUUCAAUUUUCAAUUUUAAAUCAUAAAAGCAUCUGCAGCAUUCUGACCCAGAGUAGUUCCCCACAAGUGAGACAGACAAAAUGUCUGCUGGGAAAAAUGUGCAGAGGACUCUGAUAACUGCAGCAUAUUUUUUUUCAGUUGCCAAUCAGGGUUGAUGUUUCCAAAUAACUUUUAUUGAAUUAAAUUUAUAUAAGGUCUUCCAGUCUCAGCUGUAGCCUCGGUGGCAUCUCAAAUGGAGAUGGAUCAGAUUUAAAGGCCAAAAGUCACUUUUGUGGUGUUUUGGGGAAAAGUGCAUGAGUAGAAUGAUGGAUUUUUUUUUUUGGUUUGGUGGGACAAGGUCUUGCAGGUAUAAACUGAUAUAUUAACAGAGGUGCUUGGCACCCCUGAACCACUGGUUUCUGGCACUUGAUUUUCCAGGUGUGUCUGGGCGGUCCCUGCAGACUCAUCCUGGUGGCAAUGCUCUGGUAGAAGAUACCUUUAUUUGGAAGAGUGAGAGAUGGGCCUCUUAGCUGCAGCGUUUCCAGCAGUCCUCCUUUUCUUCAGCAGCACAAUCAUAAUUUAAGGCUUAGCACUCAUCCAACCCAAGCAGCGCUGAGAGGCGGUGCUUCCACUGAUGCUUUUUCCAUUACAAAAUAGCGUUCUACCCAAACAUACUUUGUUUGACACCAAUAAAUCAGGGCAGCUCUUUUAAUCAGAUCUGAGACUGAACGAGGCUGAAGUUUUUUUUUUUUUUUUUAAGGUUUUUUUUUUUUAAAGCUUAUAAAAUUUGGUGACUUUUCAAAGAAAACUCUUUCUGUUGUUGUUGAAGUGGCACAGCCCAGCACUCCCUGUUCCUGGCAGCAGCUCAGAAGGGCUCUGAGAAAUGCAUCUCUUAUGGCAGCUCUGACUCAAACAAAAUCAAGAAACCUUGGAAAUCUCAUGGGAGAUGGAUUUUUGUCGGUUUUCCAAUCUAAACAGGUGGAGAUAAGCUAAGAUAAGUGUCUGAGAUAGAUCUGCAACAUAUGGAAGGUUCAUCUCCAACAGAAAUGUCUCAAUUUUUGUGGUCUUCUCCUUCUUUUGAGAUAUGCCUACAGACACUUGAUUAACGGUGGAGAGAGUUACGUAAAUUAAUGAAUGGGUAAAAUAGAUAUAGUAGACAGGAGCUUUCAUUCUCAGCUUCAGUGAAUGCUUUCCAAAGAAGAUUAUUUUAAUUGGCCAGCCAGUGCUUCAGGAUGGGUUUGAAAUGGCAGGGAGAAGAUCUUCAAAAGCUCAGCACUUCUGAUGCUUUUCCCAGGGAACAAGGACAAAAGGGAACAACACACUUGUUCUGUUAGUUAGGUAUUUUAAAUGUGCUGCCUCAGAUCAGAUCUCAAGUUCUUCCACCGUGCUCACUGUGCGAAAAAGAGAAACAGACAGCUUUAUUUGCAGAACAGCUUUCACAAGUUGUACCACAGUUUAUUUUAUGAUUUCAAUAUCUUCUGUAUUUCUUUUACUUCAUUUCUUCAUUACUAACUCAACAAUACCGAGUGUUGCUAAGUAACACCCUGUAGACAUCUAUAAUUUUCCUACAUGACUGCGCUAUAACCGAACAUUAAUACUUUGCAAGGCAGUAACUACCAGCAAUAGCCAAUGUCUUACUUCAAGGGGAACCAUGGUACAUUCUCAUUACAGCAGUAUACGCCUCCAAAUAGCACCCAUCACCAGGGUAAUUCACCGUUCACCUCCUGGAGCUUGAUGUCCUAGAAGGUUCAACAUCAGAGGAAUGCGCUCAUCUGAAGAAGGGGCUGAAAAAGACAGAAACCAAGACAUAUUUUAGCUUACCUCCAGUCUGGAAUGAUUUGCUGUUGUUAACC
Molecule: long non-coding RNA, 13330 nt
Filed under: Gallus gallus (chicken)
Lineage: Eukaryota; Metazoa; Chordata; Aves; Galliformes; Phasianidae
Description: lncRNA (ENSGALG00010022501.1)
Source: RNAcentral